Camelina sativa (false flax) is the source of this 6505-nucleotide non-coding RNA. NCBI's taxonomy places the organism in Eukaryota, Viridiplantae, Streptophyta, Magnoliopsida, Brassicales, Brassicaceae. The record is from RefSeq and is a predicted model, not a curated record.
AAUCAGUUGAUUUCCUAAUUUAGUUCUUUCACCAUGUUCGUUUGGGUUUUUUAACUUUUUGUUUUGUUUUGAACAUUGAAGCGUGGCUCUUAGCUUCUGAGAUCUCCGACGAAGAUUAAAAAAAAAAAAAAAGCUCUUCGGCUACUGGCAGGUUUCGAGCUCACUCUGCUAGAAAACCCUAAAAUUUGAUGUUGUAAACUUCCCCUGGCGAAUUUCAAAUCAGAGCAGACUUGAAUUUUAUCAAGGUGAGAAGCUUAGGGGUAGCUUUUGUCAAUUCUGCGUUCAAAUUUAAGUCUUUAGAUGGAUGGUAAGGGGAGGAAAUCUGCUUCCAAGAGAGGAUCCAAGAUUUUUCAGUUUGAAGAUGAUGCUGAUGAUGAUGAACCUAUCGGAUCUCUUUUAGAGGUCAUGAAGCAUAAAACUUCCAAGAAGAAUAAGGCUGAGACAGAAAGUACUGGUAAACGGAGGCACAAACAGGCUGUGGAGAAGAAACUGAGUGCUUUGGACAAGGUUUCUGAAGAUAUGGAUGACACCUUAGCCAGUUUUAGGAAGAGAUUGAAAGGCACCAAGAAAGGUGUUGGAUCAGGAACCCGGGUUCCUCCUAUUGAUACUGUAACAAAUGCGGAUUUGAACCUGAUUGAGGAAGGCAACACAAAUGAGGUGCAGAGUUUGUUACUUGGGGAAGGUUUGAAUAACAUAUCUGUCAAGAAGAUGGUUGAUUCAACAGUAGAAUGUCAAACUCAUAGGACUCUCUUAGAUUCCGGCACGAGUAUUAAAAGAAUGGAUUGCAUCUCAGAAAACGGUGCCUCUAGUUCUAUUCAAAAGUGUGCUUCAGAAACUGGACCCCUCCUGCAUAAAAUUUAUGGUAAGGAUGAGGCAGCCUCUCCCGGUCAUGAAAAAUUAGAAAUACCUAUGACAGUAUCCAGCGAGAAGGAAGCAAAUGUCGUUCAUCAUAUUACAGAUGAGGAAUCCGAAAGGCCACUGUCGGAGAAGGCUGUGGAGCUUUCCAGGGUGGCUGUUCCCAUGGCAGAUGUCCAUGGCGAAGUUUAUUCUCCUACUGAUAGAAAAGAAGUUGCAGUUAUUGCUCCUGAUCAGCACAGACACUUGAGAGAGCCAGCUUCAGAGUCUGGUUAUUCGCGAGAGAAAAAUUUAGUUAUGUGUGAUUGUGGCAUCCAAGUUAAUGUGGAGGAUCAUUCCUUUGAGUCUAAUACUCAGGUUACUCUUUGUCAUAAGUGCAAGUAUUCUUCACAUCAUAAUGCUUCUAAUGGAAGUGGUAUUCAAGUUAAUACUCUAGAAGAUGGAACUGCUGAAGCUUCCCCGGUUUCUGUAACUCCCUGUGAAGAUGAACAUUUCCGUGGUGAUGCAGUUUCUUUACCUAAUUCUGGGAAGACAUCUACCUUGCAACGCCCAGAGCGUAUUGCUAGAAAGCGUAAGCUUGGAAACAUGGUGUAUGAAGGAGACAUGAAUUGGGAGAAUGAGCAAGGCUUUCUUGAUUGUCGAAGUGACAGGUCCUUUAAAGGAAGCGACAAGUGUGAUUUUGUUCCAUCUAUUCCCAAGGUAACUGAUAUUGGGAGAGCAGCUGCGGUGACAGCUGGACUUAAAGCCCAGUCAGUAAGUCCAAUUGAGAAGAUUAUACUUAAAGAGGUGUUGAAGCGCAAAGGUAGCCAUCAGGAGUACCUAGUUUGCAGGAAUUAUAUCUUAGGCCUAUGGAGUAAAAAUGUCACUCGAAUCUUACCUGUCACUGAGUGUGGUGUUACUGGUGGCCCUCCUGAGAGUGAAUUGCCAUCAGCUUCCCUUAUCAGAGAAGUCUAUAAGUUUCUUGAUCAGAGAGGUUAUAUAAAUGCGGGAAUUUCAUCUGUGAAGGGGAAAGAGGGAUCUUCGACAAAUCAAGACUAUGAUCUCCUCCAAGGGAAAAAGCGUGAAGAAAGUUAUAUGGCUUCUGUGGCAGACUCUGAAGAGGGAGUUGCUUUUAUCCUUGGUCAGGUCAAAGCCGUUGAAUCGACUAGUGAGGAUAAGAAAUGUGCUCUCCAAAAUGAUGAAAGGGACCUGGUAGGAUGCGCGACCUCGGAAAUGUUGGGAUCUACCAGGAAAACAUGCGAGGAAGACAUAGUUGAUGAUUGCAAACAUUCUGUGAGCAUAAAUGCUUUACAGGAUGGUACUGCAUCUAAGGUUGAAAAGCAUCCUGAAACACUUUCAGUAGCGAAACCUGCUUUGUCUAGCACACUCUCGUCUGCAAAUAGUAAUCAAACGAGAGAUAGGAACUGGGUUCAAUGUGAGGUUAGAGAUGAGAAGAAAGUUAUAGUAAUUGGGGCUGGUCCUGCUGGAUUAACAGCAGCACGUCAUUUACAGCGCCAGGGUUUUUCUGUAACCGUUCUUGAGGCAAGGCGUAGAGUAGGUGGUCGUGUAUAUACGGACCGGUCAUCUCUUUCAGUUCCUGUGGAUCUUGGGGCUAGCAUAAUUACAGGCAUUGAGGCUGAUGUGCCAUCUGAAAGAAUGCCAGAUCCUUCGGUAUUGGUCUGUAACCAGUUAGGUCUGGAGUUGAGCGUGUUGCAUGGAUUCUGUCCUCUUUAUGAUACUGUAACAGGGGAAAAGGUUCCUGCAGAAUUAGAUGAUGCUCUACAAGCAGAGUUCAACAGUCUAAUUGAUGAUGUGGAUUUGCUUGUUGAGGAAAUAGGCAAGGAAAGAGCAGAUAAAUUGUCCCUCGAGGAUGGUUUAGAAUUUGGCCUUCAACGGCUGAGAAUGCCACAUGACAAGGUGAACAUUGAAAAAAUUGGGCUUGUCAAUGCAACGGAUUCUUCCUGCUCAAAAACUGAUGCCUGUUCGAAAGAUGAUUUUUUGAAUCCUCUGGAGCGAAGAGUUAUAAAUUGGCAUUUUGCUCACACAGAAUAUGGUUGCGCUGCUGUUCUCAAGGAAGUGUCGCUUCCUCACUGGAAUCAAGAUGAGUUUUAUGGCGGAUUUGGAGGGCCACAUGCUAUGAUUAAGGGUGGCUAUAGCCGAGUUGUUGAGUCGCUUGCAGAAGGACUUGACAUUCACUUGAACAAAAUAGUUUCUGAGGUAUCUUACGCCUCUGAUGUUUCUGCCGUACAUAACAGCAAGCAUAAAGUCAGAGUUAGUACAUCAAAUGGCUGUGAGUAUUUUGGAGAUGCUGUUCUGGUAACUGUUCCUCUUGGAUGCUUGAAAGCAGAAACUAUUAAGUUUUCACCACCCUUGCCGGACUGGAAGUAUUCGUCAAUCAAGCAACUUGGUUUUGGAGUUUUAAAUAAAGUUGUGUUGGAGUUCCCAAAGGUAUUUUGGGAUGAUAGUGUUGAUUAUUUUGGGGUAACGGCGGAGGAAGCAGAUCUAAGAGGUGAGUGCUUUAUGUUUUGGAAUGUCAAAAAAACUGUUGGUGCUCCUGUCCUGAUAGCUUUGGUGGUUGGGAAGGCUGCUUUUGAAUAUACAAACAAGAGUAAGUCUGAGCACGUGAACCAUGCAAUGAUGGUUCUUCGUAAGCUUUUUGGUGGGGAUCUGGUUCCUGAUCCUGUUGCCUCUGUUGUUACUGACUGGGGCACUGAUCCUUACAGUUAUGGUGCCUACUCAUAUGUUGCUAUUGGUGCUUCUGGUGAAGAUUAUGAUGUAUUGGGAAGGCCUGUUCAGAAUUGUUUGUUUUUUGCUGGUGAGGCAACAUGCAAAGAGCAUCCUGACACAGUUGGUGGUGCAAUGAUGACUGGAGUUCGGGAAGCUGUGCGUAUAAUUGAUAUACUUAGAAGUGGAAAUGAUUACACAGCAGAAAUAGAAACACUAGAAAAAGCGCAGAGGAAAUCUGUUCCUGUAAGGGAUGAAGUCAAAGACCUAAUAAAGAGGCUUGAAGUUGUUGAGCUGUCUAAUGUGCUGGCCAGGCAAUCAUUGCUACGGAACAUGUUCUUCUCUGCUAAAACAACUGUUGGGCGUUUGCAUUUAGCCAAGGAGUUGCUUAAUCUACCUGGUGAAGCCUUGAAAUCCUUUGCAGGUACAAAAGAGGGGCUUGCAGUGCUGAACUCUUGGAUCCUGGAUUCGAUGGGGAAGAAUGGAACCCAACUUUUACGUCACUGUGUACAUAUUCUUGUUCGAGUUACGAGUGAUCUCUUUGCCGUGAGGCUCUCAGGCAUUGGAAAGACUGUGAAAGAAAAGGUUUGUGCACACACGAGCCGUGAUAUCCGCGCCAUUGCAAGUCAGCUUGUUAAUGUGUGGCUGGAACUAUACCGGAAAGAAAAAGCUAAUAGUGGAAAGAAAUCAUCGAGACAAGCGAAUACUAUAAAUACCUCUAGAAUAAGAAGAAAACUGAAUAGUGCGGACACAGACAGUAAGGGAAAACUGAGCAAUGGCAACGAUGGGAAAACAGAUGGAGAGCUUGAAGACAACCAGCUACCUAUGUCAGAGGAAGAGAAGGCUGUGUUUGCUGAAGCUGAGGCAGCUCGUGCAGCAGCAGAAGCAGCUGCCAAGGCAUUUUCUGAGGCCUAUCAUAAUACUUCAUUGCAGCUUCCUAAGAUUCCCUCGUUUCAUAAGUUUGCCAGGCGAGAGCAGUAUGCAAAGAUGGACGAAUCUGAUUUCAGGAAAAAGUUUCCUGGCAAUGUCUUUGGAAGACAAGAUUGUAUGUCAGAGAUAGACUCGAGGAACUGCAAAGUUCGGGACUGGUAUGAUUUUCCUGCCUCGUGUCUUGACCUUGACAAUUCAAGGAUUCCAGUCGAUAACUAUUCACAGCGUAGCCAUUCGAAUGAGCUUGUAUCUCAUUCCAAGUUCAGAGAAUGUUCUGGAGAAAGUGGGGCUGCGGAUACCAGUUUUUUAACUGGGGCAUGGGUUGAUACUGGUGGUAGUAGUGAUGGUUUCAAGGAUUCCCAGGCUAUCGAUAGAUGGCAAUCUCAAGCUGCUGCUGCUGAUCCUGAAUUUUUCAAUCGUACUUUGCAUAUUAAGAAUGAUGAAGAUUCGAUUGCAUGUUCAACAGGCCCUCCGAGUUGGAAGAAUGACCAACAAGCGAAUGAAUGCUCUGUGUCACAGGUUACAGUGAAUAAAGAGUCACAUAAAACUCAUAUCCGGAGUGCAGAUCGUUUGAAACAGGGGGUUGUAGAUUUUGUUGCAUCGUUGCUUAUGGCCCCUUAUAAAGCAAAGAAAAUUGAUAGAGAUGUAUACAAGUCAAUAAUGAAGAAGACCGCAACAAAGGUUAUGCAACAUACAACAGAUGUGGAGAAAGCCAUGGCUGUUCAGCAAUUCCUCGACUCAAAGCGGAAAAACAAGAUUCGUGACUUUGUGGACAAACAAGUUGACAAGUAUAUGGCGAUAGCUCAAGUUCCAAAACCUUGAUGACCGUUAGGAUCUACAGUAAUGUCCAAUGGUUGAGUUGGUAUCCGAUGGGAGGGCAAGCCCCUUUAUAGAAACCACAUAUCAUCGCUCAUUUUAUGAGGAAGGUUAUCUCAAAGAAGCAGAUGGUCUGAUGCAGAAGAGAGUUUUUGCAUGAGAUUUUGUCAUACUAUAUGAUUGGCAGAGACAAGUUUUUGGUACUAACAUGAUAUGAUGAAGAAUUUGGUCUUGCUAUGUUGGAAGGUGUAUCACUUUUACUCUUGCAGGUAAAAGAUGGAUCAUCAAAGAAUGGAAAGUAACGAUUGGUUCAGCUCCCAGGCAUUUCGGGAUUGAUGUUCUUCAGUGCCUUAGACUUAGGAGCAGCUUGUGGAACAGGAACUGCAAAAAUGCAGGUGAGGAAACUUAAGACUUGGCUAAAUACACUUUGACCCAUGUUGGUGAGAGCUGGAAUCUUUGUAAUCGAAGCUGUUAAGAUAUAGAUACCUUGGUUCAAGAAUCACUCUGCUUUUGAUGGGAGGAGGACGGUGGUGAAAGUUGAGAAACUGGUGCUAUCCUCUGACGCGGACGGAGGUGGAAUAGCAGGCGUAGCUCAUGGAAGAGUCUCGGAAGAAAGAGAGACCCAAAGACCUCAUCCGAUCAAGGAUAUGGAUAGGAACGCCAUAGUUGAUCACGUGGAAGGCUCCCCUGUUGCGACAAGCGUCACCGAUGGCUUGCAACAAAUGGGGUUGUAAAAAAAAAAGAGAGCGAGAAUGUUGCUAAUGUUUCAAAAUUAUGUCUACAUUAAGGAGAGUAAUGCACAAAGAUCGGUUUAUACGGAAAAGUUCAAUCGUUCCAGCCAUCGGGAAUCGCAUAUGGAGAGAUCUGAUUCACAAUCCCUUCCAUUUGAUAUUCUCAGUAGAUGUUUUUGGGUAUGAGUAGCUCAGGAGCUUUCAACUAAUGGUCAAUUCCUGCAACUACGGGCAAAACAGGAUGCUCCUUCACCUAGCAGAAGCAAGUUGGCAUUUUGGCUGUACAUAAAUAUUCAGGGAACCCUCAAGAUUCCCUUUAUCUGAUUGCUAUGAUCAAGAGCAUUUCUUUAUUCCAUAGAAGCGCAUUGUCUUUGUGACCAACAAGAGAGUUGUGUUACGUUAUUACAGGUUAAACCAACUAAAAUACGAUUUCACAUGAAGGUUUCCAUUAGUGUCUUAUAAUUAUAUUA